GCCUGGACAUGGAGAGCACGUCAUUCUCUUCAUUUCCAGAAGCUGGAGCUGGGGCCUAUUAGGCGGUAGUAUAGUGGAGGUGCUUGGUCACAUUAACCUCUCUUGGCUUCACUAGUCUUCCAUCCUUGAAGUCAGAAUAUAAUUAUUCACCCCCUGAAUCCUCCAUAUGCUAAUAUACCUACUACCAGUAUAUAUCAGUGAUCCAGCAGAGAAGAUGAGAUUCAGAACCCCAUCAUGGAAUUAAAAAGGCAUUAUGAAAUAUGGCUUCAAAAUCUAGUGCAUGACAUUUGUGCUUCUAGAUCAUGCUUGUGUUUCUGUACCGGAUUUGUUCUACACUGUUAUAAAGCUACAGCUUCUCCUUCUGUUGUUAUUCUGAAAGGGAGAUUGAGGUAAAAGAGAAUUUUGUGCUGCUUUCUAGACUUUGUUUUCCUAGCACUGCCUUCAGAACUCCUGCCUGGCAUGAGAGUAGGCCAGAAUAACGUGUAUAGCCCGUGACAGCAGCAAAAUGAGGCUAACAAAUAUCCUACUGAGGAUGCGGUUUGACAGCUUCAUCCAUCCAGCUGAAUUUGCAUUCAAGAGUCAAGAACUCAAAUUAUUCUCAUCAGUGGGAGCCUAUUUGAGGAAUUCGACUGUAUGACUGAAACAUCUCCUGGGCUGCUUUUCUAAACAGCACAUCGGAAUAAAAGGUUUCUUUUUUAAUUGAAGCUCUGGAAGAAUUUCUGUUCUCAGAGGCCUAUAGAAAAAGUCAGUUCAAAAAUAGAAAAAUAAAUGCAGAGAGACUGCGCAGAAAAGAAGACCUGAAAGAUGGAUGUUUUGUUGUGUUCAUUGUUGCUGAAGUAGGAAAAAAUGUGCAAAAAAAUAAAAAUAUAAACAUAAAAAAUGGCCACUUACGACUGGUUUACACUUGAAAUAUUUAAGAAGUAAGAAAAGCGUGUUCUCCAGCUCCUGAAACGUCUAUUGUGCCCAAGUAACUAUGCUAACUAUCUGUUGGUGUAAGUGGAUGCCACCUCAUGGAUUUCAGUGGCAUAUCAUCUCUUCAAACAAGCAGAGAGAGUGGAAGACAUUUGACACAAACAGAAGGAUCGUACUUGCUUAUGUAUACCUCUGUGUGCCAUUGACAUGGAAGGCUUUGACUUUAGGCCAGUGCGUGUUUGGUCAGCCAGGCGAUAGGGUAGCUCAAAAAAAUCUGAAAGCAUGAGGACAUGACAAGCUAUUCAAGGAGCAAUCGACCGUAAUUUAUUUAAAGCAAAGCGAAGACCCUGUGUAAAGUUCUCAUUUCAAUAACAGCUGAUUCAUUCUGCACGGUUUGCCUGCAGAUUUCUUCUGAGAUGAUCUCUAAGUCAGAGUAGAGCAAAAGGAAAAGGUAAGAGCCAGUUAGGUGGAAGAGUAAUUAGAGUUUUCAAGUAUUUGUCCAGUGGAACCCUUUAAUGCUUCUUGUGGAGAUGUUUAAUUUUAGAUUAUUGUCACUUCUGAAGUUCUCAACACUCACUGCUGUAAGCUGUAAAUGAACCCAGAGCCGUCAUUCUAAACCUGUUUGGAAUGGGGAAGCUGCAAUGGGCUGCUUUUCCUGCCGCACUUGAUCCAGGUGCUGCAGUUGUAUUUCUUCAUCACUGCUCUCACUGCUAG
RNAcentral lists this long non-coding RNA (1626 nucleotides) under Gallus gallus (chicken). RNAcentral describes it as "lncRNA (ENSGALG00010004875.1)". Lineage: Eukaryota; Metazoa; Chordata; Aves; Galliformes; Phasianidae. The record is from RNAcentral.